Molecule: RNA transcript, 2059 nt
Organism: Panicum hallii
Lineage: Eukaryota; Viridiplantae; Streptophyta; Magnoliopsida; Poales; Poaceae
Gene name: transducin beta-like protein 2
Exons: 12
Source: RefSeq, a predicted model, not a curated record
GGUGUGGAGUCGGGACAAUCCAUGUACAAUGCUAGAAUGCUACUCCCCUUUGUGGUUUUCUCUUCUCUGGAUUCUACUCUGAAUUUGGUGGUCCGAUGACCGGAGGAGAGUGACCUGAUUGCAAAUCUGCAUUCAUGAACGGCAGGCAGGCAGGCAGGCAGCAGCAGCAGCCUACCCCGAUCUGCCACCGCCCGCCGGCGCCGAUUCACCACCGCCAGCAACAGCAAGCGACGACUCCGGUCGAGAUGGCGGCGUCACUUGUCUCCUCGCUCACGUUGCCCCUCAUCUCCGCCGUCCUCGGUGCCGCCAUCGCCCUUGUCUUCCUCGCCGGCUACCUCCGCCGCAAGCGCGCCGCCAUCGCCCACAUCCCUCCCUCCGCCACCACCGCCGCCCCGGACCAGCCCAAGCACGUCCGCCCCUCCAACCAGGCCCAGCACAGGAAGGGCCAUCCCCGCCCGCAUCACAACGCCGCCGAUAAGGAUGCUGCCAAGAAGCACCACCAUCUUGAUGUCAACACCUUGAGGGGGCACACUGACUCAGUCACUGCACUUCACUUCUCCAAUGAUGGCGCCAACCUAUCCACUGUGUGUGCUGAUGGAGCUGUAAGGAUAUUCAGGAUCGACGAUACCUCAAGCAAGAGCUUUAAGAUUCUGAGGAUAAACUUGCCUGCUGGAGCACAUCCUACCGGUGUUGCUUUCUCGGAGGGCUCUUCAUCUGUUGUUGUGGCAGCACAGGCUCUUCUGGGCUCAUCUCUCUAUAUGUAUGCGGAUGUUAGUGCUCCUCCAACGGCCCAAAACAAGCAGCAGGGCAAGCUGUCUCCGCCUGAGAUCAAGUGGAGUCACCAAAAGAUUCAUGGAAAGGAGUCAGUGCUCAACCUUGCAGCAGCCCAUGCAACUCAUGGGCCCGGAGAUGGGAGCACUAUAAUUAUUUCGUGCUCAGAAGCAACCGAUAUCAAAGUUUGGCACGGGAAGAGUGGAAAGGAGUUGGGUACUGUUGACACCAAUCAGCUAAAAAAUAAUAUGGCUGACAUAUCCCCAAAUGGUCGCUUCAUAGCUGCUGCAGCUUUUACUGCUGAUGUCAAGGUGUGGGAGAUAGUUUACUCAAAGGAUAGUUCAGUGAAAGAGGUUAAUAAAGUCAUGCAGCUCAAGGGUCACAAGAGUGCUGUUACUUGCUUGUGCUUUGCCCCAAAUUCUGAGCAAAUUAUCACUGCAUCCAAAGAUGGUUCCAUUCGAGUAUGGAACAUUAAUGUAAGGUAUCACCUUGAUGAGGAUCCAAAAACCUUAAGAGUUUUGCCAAUUCCACUGCAUGACUCAAAAGGUUCAAUUUGCCAAUAUGAUCACAUGAGCAUCUCUCCUGAUGGUAAAGUUCUGGCUGUAACAAGUGAAUCAACAUUGCAAUGGUUAUGUGUGGAAACUGGUGCAGUUUUGGAUACAGCUGAGAAAGCUCAUGAAGGUAGAACAGCACUCUUAAGGCAGAUGUGGAGUGUUAAGUCUUAGGUACUGGAAAGAUGAUAGGAAAUAUAGUAGGACAACAGUAUACCAGCACUGUAGCUGCCAUAUGCUAUACAAAUCGGUCAUAUAACUGGCAUUGCUUGGGCUCCACGGAAAAUUCCCAAUGGUGGCGUGCCUGCAUUUAUUUUGGGGACUGCUGGUGUGGACAAGAAGGUUAAACUUUGGUUAGCUCCACAGGUUGGUUCAACAUGAGUAAUGGAGGACUGAGCAUUUCCUAUCCACAAGGUCACAGAAAGAAAGGACACAAGAAUAGAAGAAAACAGGGGAAGGCCUUGAUUUGUACUUGAUAUUGCACUGAAGCAUACAUAGCUGUGGUCCUUUGAGCUUGAGGGACAGCACUGAGGUCUGUGUGAUGAGAGUGUGAAACAUGGAGACUGCACGCGCACGUGCCUAGAGGCAGUAGUUUCGCUAUAGAUUGUGCCAGGUUUUUGAAAUAAAUUGAGUGUUGUCUGCAAUUUUAUUUUUCCUUUACUUUUGCUGGGAAUGGUUGUGCAGGCAAACUAUGUGGUUUGAUAGUGUUUGUUAUACGAAGUGGUUUUAGUACGUAA